GACGAACGCUGGCGGCGUGCUUAACACAUGCAAGUCGAACGGAAAGGCCCUGCUCGGGGGGGGCUCGCGUGGCGAAAGGGGGAGUAACACGCGAGUAACCUGCCCUCGACUCUUGGGUAAAUCCAGAAAACAGGGGGGAUUAUCGGAUAGAAGCUCCUGCGGUACGGGGGGGGGUGGGAAGAUUUGGCGGGUGGGGGUGGGGUCGCGGCGUAUCUGCUUGUUGGGGGGGGAGUGGCUUACCAAGGGGUUGGCGGGUAGCCGGCCUGGGAGGGGGACCGGCCCCCUUGGGACUGGGGUACGGCCCAGGCCCCUACGGGGAGCAGCAGGGGGGAAAUUUGCCCAAUGGGUGGGAGCCUGAUGCAGCAACGCCGUGUGCGGGAUGACGGCCUUCGGGUUGGAAACCGCUUUCGCUCAUUACGGAGCUUUGUGUGACGGUAGUGGGUAAAGAAGCACCGGCUAACUACGUG
Molecule: ribosomal RNA, 467 nt
Filed under: uncultured bacterium
Lineage: Bacteria
Description: partial 16S ribosomal RNA
Rfam family: Bacterial small subunit ribosomal RNA
Source: RNAcentral